GAUGAACGCUGGCGGCGUGCCUAAUACAUGCAAGUCGAGCGAACAGACGAGGAGCUUGCUCCUCUGACGUUAGCGGCGGACGGGUGAGUAACACGUGGAUAACCUACCUAUAAGACUGGGAUAACUUCGGGAAACCGGCGCUAAUACCGGAUAAUAUAUUGAACCGCAUGGUUCAAUAGUGAAAGACGGUUUUGCUGUCACUUAUAGAUGGAUCUGCGCCGCAUUAGCUAGUUGGUAAGGUAACGGCUUACCAAGGCAACGAUGCGUAGCCGACCGGCGAGGGUGAUCGGCCACACUGGAACGGAGACACGGUCCAGACUCCUACGGGAGGCAGCAGUAGGGAAUCUUCCGCAAUGGGCGAAAGCCUGACGGAGCAACGCCGCGUGAGUGAUGAAGGUCUUCGGAUCGUAAAACUCUGUUAUUAGGGAAGAACAAAUGUGUAAGUAACUAUGCACGUCUUGACGGUACCUAAUCAGAAAGCCACGGCUAACUACGUG
Molecule: ribosomal RNA, 497 nt
Filed under: uncultured bacterium
Lineage: Bacteria
Description: partial 16S ribosomal RNA
Rfam family: Bacterial small subunit ribosomal RNA
Source: RNAcentral